RNAcentral lists this ribosomal RNA (409 nucleotides) under uncultured soil bacterium. RNAcentral's name for it is "bacterial SSU rRNA". It matches the Rfam family "Bacterial small subunit ribosomal RNA", at positions 509 to 916 of the family's 1533-position model. The record is from RNAcentral.
CAGCAGCCGCGGUAAUACAGAGGGUGCGAGCGUUGUCCGGAAUCACUGGGCGUAAAGGGCGCGUAGGCGGUGCGAUAAGCGUGCGGUGAAAGCCCGGGGCUCAACCCCGGGUCGGCCGUGCGGACUGUCGGACUGGAGCACUGUAGAGGCAGGUGGAAUUCCGGGUGUAGCGGUGGAAUGCGUAGAGAUCCGGAAGAACACCGGUGGCGAAGGCGGCCUGCUGGGCAGUGGCUGACGCUGAGGCGCGACAGCGUGGGGAGCAAACAGGAUUAGAUACCCUGGUAGUCCACGCCGUAAACGAUGGGCACUAGGUGCCUGGGGGAGCGACCCUCCGGGUGCCGGCGCUAACGCAUUAAGUGUCCCGCCUGGGGAGUACGGCCGCAAGGCUGAAACACGAAUGAUCCGAUGU